Molecule: ribosomal RNA, 2371 nt
Filed under: Bacteroides xylanisolvens
Lineage: Bacteria; Pseudomonadati; Bacteroidota; Bacteroidia; Bacteroidales; Bacteroidaceae
Description: 23S ribosomal RNA
Rfam family: Bacterial large subunit ribosomal RNA
Source: RNAcentral
AAAGAAAGUAAGCAAGGGCGCAUGGCGGAUGCCUUGGCUCUCGGAGGCGAUGAAGGACGUGAUAAGCUGCGAUAAGCUUCGGGAAGGUGCAAAUAACCUUUGAUCCGAAGAUUUCCGAAUGGGACAACCCGUCAUUCUGAAGGAAUGACAUCUUGCAUAGCAAGAGGCUAACGCAGGGAACUGAAACAUCUUAGUACCUGCAGGAAAAGAAAAUAAUAAUGAUUCCCCAAGUAGUGGCGAGCGAACGGGGAUUAGCCCAAACCAAUGUUGUUACGGCAAUAUUGGGGUUGUAGGACCACGAUGUCGCAAGAACUUUAGUGAGAAGAAUUCUUUGGAAAAUGAAACCAUAGACGGUGAUAGUCCGGUAUUCGAAGCUAAACGAAGCGUAGUGGUAUCCUGAGUAGCGCGGGACACGAGGAAUCUUGCGUGAAUCUGCCGGGACCAUCCGGUAAGGCUAAAUACUCCCGAGAGACCGAUAGCGAACCAGUACUGUGAAGGAAAGGUGAAAAGCACUUCGAAUAGAAGAGUGAAAUAGUCCCUGAAACCGUGCGCCUACAAGCGGUCGGAGCAGCGUAAGUUGUGACGGCGUGCCUUUUGCAUAAUGAACCUACGAGUUACUUUUUCCGGCAAGGUUAAGCAUUUUAAAAUGUGUAGCCGAAGCGAAAGCGAGUCUGAACAGGGCGAUUAGUCGGAAGGAGUAGACGCGAAACCAAGUGAUCUACCCUUGGUCAGGUUGAAGGUUAGGUAACACUAACUGGAGGACCGAACCGAUAAGCGUUGAAAAGCUUCCGGAUGAACUGAGGGUGGGGGUGAAAGGCUAAUCAAACUUGGAGAUAGCUCGUACUCCCCGAAAUGCAUUUAGGUGCAGCCUUGGGAAUUACUACUGUGAGGUAGAGCGACUGAUAAGAUGCGAGGGCUUCACCGCCUAUCAAGUCUUGAUAAACUCCGAAUGCGCAGUAGUUCGAUCCCAGGAGUGAGGGCAUGGGUGCUAAGGUCCAUGUCCUAAAGGAGAAGAAUCCGGACCAUCAGCUAAGGUCCCGAAAUAAUUGCUAAGUUGAACUAACGAAGUCAGAUUGCUAAGACAGCUAGGAUGUUGGCUUGGAAGCAGCCAUUCAUUUAAAGAGUGCGUAACAGCUCACUAGUCGAGGAGUUUGGCGUGGAUAAUAAUCGGGCAUUAAGCAAUUUACCGAAGCUAUGGGAUCAGNNNNNNNNNNNNNNNNNNNNNNNNNNNNNNNNNNNNNNNNNNNNNNNNNNNNNNNNNNNNNNNNNNNNNNNNNNNNNNNNNNNNNNNNNNNNNNNNUAAAUUGAAAGAUUACGUAUACAGCCUGACACCUGCCCGGUGCUGGAAGGUUAAGAGGAGAUGUCAUCGCAAGAGAAGCAUUGAAUUGAAGCCCCAGUAAACGGCGGCCGUAACUAUAACGGUCCUAAGGUAGCGAAAUUCCUUGUCGGGUAAGUUCCGACCUGCACGAAUGGUGUAAUGAUCUGGACACUGUCUCAACCGUGAGCUCAGUGAAAUUGUAGUAUCGGUGAAGAUGCCGAUUACCCGCGAUGGGACGAAAAGACCCCGUGAACCUUUACUAUAGCUUAACAUUGAAUUUGGGUAAUUGAUGUGUAGGAUAGGCCGGAGACUUCGAAGCAGGUACGCCAGUAUUUGUGGAGUCGCUGUUGAAAUACGGCCCUUUGAUUAUUUGAGUUCUAACUCGUAGUUGCGAGGACACUGUUUGGUGGGUAGUUUGACUGGGGUGGUCGCCUCCAAAAGUGUAACGGAGGCUUCUAAAGGUGCCCUCAGGACGAUUGGUAACCGUCCGUAGAGUGUAAUGGCAUAAGGGCGCUUGACUGGGAGACAGACAAGUCGAUCAGGUAGGAAACUAGAGCAUAGUGAUCCGGUGUUUCCGCAUGGAAGGGACAUCGCUCAAAGGAUAAAAGGUACUCCGGGGAUAACAGGCUGAUCCCUCCCAAGAGCUCAUAUCGACGGAGGGGUUUGGCACCUCGAUGUCGGCUCGUCACAUCCUGGGGCUGGAGAAGGUCCCAAGGGUUGGGCUGUUCGCCCAUUAAAGUGGCACGCGAGCUGGGUUCAGAACGUCGUGAGACAGUUCGGUCUCUAUCUAUCGUGGGCGUAUGAAAUUUGCGUGGCUCUGACACUAGUACGAGAGGACCGUGUUGGACUGACCGCUGGUUUACCAGUUGUGCCGCCAGGUGCAUCGCUGGGUAUCUAAGUCGGGAUUGGAUAAGUGCUGAAAGCAUCUAAGUACGAAGCCAGCCACAAGAUUAGAUUUCUUAGGGUCGUUAAAGACGAUGACGUUGAUAGGAUGCAGGUGUAAAGGUGGUAACAUCAAAGCCGAGCAUUACUAAUUGCCCGUUCACUUUCUUU